Molecule: long non-coding RNA, 389 nt
Organism: Camelus dromedarius (Arabian camel)
Lineage: Eukaryota; Metazoa; Chordata; Mammalia; Artiodactyla; Camelidae
Exons: 4
Source: RefSeq, a predicted model, not a curated record
AUUCAGCCUAGCUGGAAAGAAAUACGCAGGGACAAUACAUUGGUCUAUGGGAACUAAAGCUUAACCAAGGGAGAUUUUGAUAGGAUACAUGCCCAGGAGCUGGAAUUGCUGGAUCAUAUGAAUCCACUGUCAUGGUAUAAAGUGAAGGACCCAGCAUGUAGAGCUGGCACAGUGCCUGGCAAAAUACAGGAGGAAGUCAAGAGAUUCAAAGCCUGAGAAAGAUUUGAUGCACUAUCGCUGGCUCGAAAAUUGGAGGAGGUCCCAUGGCAAGGAAUGAAGAAGGUCCCUAGGAGAUGAAACUGGCCCCUGGCUGAGAGUCAGCAGGAACCUCAGUCCUACAAUGGCAAGGACCUGCAUUGUGCCAACAAACGGAAUGAGCUUGGAGCCUU